RNAcentral lists this ribosomal RNA (274 nucleotides) under uncultured bacterium. Its description in RNAcentral is "partial 16S ribosomal RNA". It matches the Rfam family "Bacterial small subunit ribosomal RNA", at positions 523 to 796 of the family's 1533-position model. The record is from RNAcentral.
AUACGGAGGGUGCGAGCGUUAAUCGGAAUUACUGGGCGUAAAGGGCGUGUAGGCGGGACAGCAAGUCGGGUGUGAAAGCCCUGGGCUCAACCCAGGAAGGGCAUUCGAUACUACUGUUCUUGAGUAUGACAGAGGAAAGCGGAAUUCCCGGUGUAGCGGUGAAAUGCGUAGAUAUCGGGAAGAACACCUGUGGCGAAGGCGGCUUUCUGGGUCACAACUGACGCUGAGGCGCGAAAGCUAGGGGAGCGAACGGGAUUAGAAACCCCAGUAGUCC